GACGAACGCUGGCGGCGUGCUUAACACAUGCAAGUCGAACGAUGAACCCGGAACUUGGUCUGGGGGAUUAGUGGCGAACGGGUGAGUAACACGUGAGGAACAUGCACUGGAAUGUGGGAUAAGCGUUGGAAACGACGUCUAAUACAGGAUAGGAUCUUGGAUAGCAUGAUCUGGGGUGGAAAGAUUUUUCCGUCCUGGAUGGACUCGCGGCCUCUCAGCUUGUUGGUCAGGUAAUGGAUGGCCAAGCCGUCGAAGGGAAGCCUGCCUGAGACGGGGACCGGCCACCCUGCGAGCGUCACACGGGCCAGACCCGUACGGGAGGCAGCAGAGGGGAAUAAUGCACAAUGGGCGAAAGCCGGGUGCAGCAACGCGGCGUGCGGGAUGACAGCCUUCGGGUUGUAGACCGCUAUUAGUAGGGAAGAAUGGGCUCGGCUUGACGGUACCUGCAGAAAAAGGACCGGCUAACUACGUG
Molecule: ribosomal RNA, 472 nt
Filed under: uncultured bacterium
Lineage: Bacteria
Description: partial 16S ribosomal RNA
Rfam family: Bacterial small subunit ribosomal RNA
Source: RNAcentral